Molecule: long non-coding RNA, 1440 nt
Organism: Cavia porcellus (domestic guinea pig)
Lineage: Eukaryota; Metazoa; Chordata; Mammalia; Rodentia; Caviidae
Exons: 2
Source: RefSeq, a predicted model, not a curated record
UAUUCAGUUUUAAUGAAUUUAAAUGCAAUAGCCUCUUGCGGGUAGUGGUGAUCCUAUUGGACAGCAUAGGCCUGGAAGGCCAAGAGGAAAAGAACUGUUUUCCCUUAAACCUGGUUGCAGAAAGAGACAAGGAUCAUCUUGAGCAAAAUACACCCCUCCUCCCCCACUCAUAAACUCCUUAAAAAAAGAUGUCCUGGCCCUCAAGGGUUAACUCAAUAUAUCCUGCUGCCCAUGGUAUCCAAAGCUACCAGAUGGGAGAGUUGGAUGGUAGGGGAGGUGUGAAGUCCCCUGGUGGUUUCCAAGAUGAGAAGAGGAAAUGCCCUUUUGUAGCAUCCUGGAAUAUCAGCCUCCAGGUUGACUGUCUCAAGCAGUGGGACUGUUGCCUGGGAGACAAGGGGUACAGAAGACCCCUGGGGCAGCUGACCUGCAGCAGGGCCCGCCUUUGAAGGACAGUGGUUAAAAGCAAAGCAAGGAAAGGACCAGCAUAGGCUGGACUGGCAUGGGGUAGGAGGCCAGGAGGUGCUGGCAUGGCACCAGGUACGGAAGGGGCCAGGAGGAGCCUGCUGUGAUCAGAAGGCUGAAGAGAGGAAGGGCGGCAGCAGCUGCUAGGGGGGAGCUGGGGAGCAGCACAGGACACAGAGUGGAAACACAAGCAAGCUGGGCAGAAGUGGUGCCUACAAAUCCUUAUUGACCAGGAGCUAAAAACCCACAUUUUCAACUGACUGCUUUGGCCAUGCCAAGUGUAAUCCCACCAACCGAUGAAUAAGAGUAAAUGAACAGAGGGGGAAGCAGCUUGUGACUGUGCAAUCCCGGCACUCACCUCCCCUCUGUACCCUCUGUGGCUGCCACAAUGCCCUCCUUACCUCUGUUCCCCCAGCAGGACUCUUUUCUAAUUACUUCUAGCCAGGCUUGCCAAGUGUGUUUCCCACUGAAUUUCAUUUCCGGACCUGUUGAAUGCCAAAUUAAUUUUUAAUCACCCUGGAGGUGUUGAGUUUAAUUACCCAGAUUGGAAGUAACAAGGAAAACAGGAUGUUGAGGGUAACGUUUUGGGGGUGCUUCUCAGGAAGGGGACAAAGAGUUUCCAGGGUGCUGGGGGGAGGCAGGGAGUCUUGGCUUUCCAGCUACAGUGAUGGUGUGUUUAAGGCCCUGCUCUGCAGAAGACAGGCUGGGAGCACGAGGAGCCAGGCCAUGGGGUCCUUGGUGAAGCCCAAGCUUGUCACGAGAGUCUCAUCCAAGGACAAUAAAACUCAAGUAGACAACCAGCCCUGAUUACAAUUUCCUUUCCUGCGUGUGAAGAGAAUUCCAGUCAGUUCCUCGCAAGUCAUCAGUGCCUGCGCCAUGCACCGCUUCUGACAUCUGUAUCCGGUUGGAGGAGAAAGCCAGACCCCCACAGGUUGUGGGCUCCUCUCCACGUCCUCAAUAAAGGCCACUUUCUCUUUC